GAUGAACGCUGGCGGCGUGCCUAAUACAUGCCAGUCGAGCGAACGGACGAGAAGCUUGCUUCUCUGAUGUUAGCGGCGGACGGGUGAGUAACACGUGGAUAACCUACCUAUAAGACUGGGAUAACUUCGGGAAACCGGAGCUAAUACCGGAUAAUAUUUUGAACCGCAUGGUUCAAAAGUAAAAGACGGUCUUGCUGUCACUUAUAGAUGGAUCCGCGCUGCAUUAGCUGGUUGGUAAGGUAACGGCUUACCAAGGCAACGAUGCAUAGCCGACCUGAGAGGGUGAUCGGCCACACUGGAACUGAGACACGGUCCAGACUCCUACGGGAGGCAGCAGUAGGGAAUCUUCCGCAAUGGGCGAAAGCCUGACGGAGCAACGCCGCGUGAGUGAUGAAGGUCUUCGGAUCGUAAAACUCUGUUAUUAGGGAAGAACAUAUGUGUAAGUAACUGUGCACAUCUUGACGGUACCUAAUCAGAAAGCCACGGCUAACUACGUG
Molecule: ribosomal RNA, 497 nt
Filed under: uncultured bacterium
Lineage: Bacteria
Description: partial 16S ribosomal RNA
Rfam family: Bacterial small subunit ribosomal RNA
Source: RNAcentral